CUACGGGGGGCUGCAGUGGGGAAUAUUGGACAAUGGGGGAAACCCUGAUCCAGCAAUGCCGCGUGUGUGAAGAAGGCCUGCGGGUUGUAAAGCACUUUCGGUUGGGAGGACUGCUUCUAGCACUAAUAUUGCUGGAAGUUGACGUUACCUCAGAAGAAGCACCGGCUAACUCCGUGCCAGCAGCCGCGGUAAUACGGAGGGUGCAAGCGGUAAUCGGAAUUACUGGGCGUAAAGCGCGCGUAGGCGGCUAGAUCAGUCGGGUGUGAAAGCCCCGGGCUUAACCUGGGAACUGCAUCCGAUACUGUCUAGCUUGAGUACAGGAGAGGAGAGUGGAAUUCCACAUGUAGCGGUGAGAUGCGUAGAUAUGUGGAGGAACACCAAUGGCGAAGGCAGCUCUCUGGCCUGAUACUGACGCUGAGGUGCGAAAGCGUGGGGAGCAAACAGGAUUAGAUACCCUCGUAGUC
RNAcentral lists this ribosomal RNA (464 nucleotides) under uncultured bacterium. RNAcentral describes it as "partial 16S ribosomal RNA". It matches the Rfam family "Bacterial small subunit ribosomal RNA", at positions 339 to 795 of the family's 1533-position model. The record is from RNAcentral.